AUGCAUGUCUAAGUAUAAGCACUUGUACUGUGAAACUGCGAAUGGCUCAUUAAAUCAGUUAUCGUUUAUUUGAUUGUACCUUACUACAUGGAUAACCGUGGUAAUUCUAGAGCUAAUACAUGCGAAAAGUCCCGACUUCUGGAAGGGAUGUAUUUAUUAGACUAAAAGCCAAUACGGGUGCUCUUCUGGGCACACGUUCAUGUGGUGAUUCAUGAUAACUUCUCGAAUCGCAUGGCCUUGCGCCGGCGAUGUUUCAUUCAAAUUUCUGCCCUAUCAACUGUCGAUGGUAAGGUAGUGGCUUACCAUGGUUACAACGGGUGACGGAGAAUUAGGGUUCGAUUCCGGAGAGGGAGCCUGAGAAACGGCUACCACAUCCAAGGAAGGCAGCAGGCGCGCAAAUUACCCAAUCCCGACACGGGGAGGUAGUGACAAGAAAUAACAAUCCGUGU
Molecule: ribosomal RNA, 449 nt
Filed under: Aurelia aurita (moon jelly)
Lineage: Eukaryota; Metazoa; Cnidaria; Scyphozoa; Semaeostomeae; Ulmaridae
Description: SSU rRNA
Rfam family: Eukaryotic small subunit ribosomal RNA
Source: RNAcentral